GCAACCACCUCCCGGGGUUGAAAAGUCUCUGUGGAAACCAAGAAAAUACAAUUUUCAUUUCCAAGAAUAAUAUGGGGAGAUACGAUAACGUUUCAUGCAGCCUUUUCUAUUGCGGGAUUUGUUUGAGGGUAGUGACGAAAUAAAAAGGGUUGGCGUAAAGUGGUCUUUGCGUACGGGAGAUAAUCUAGGGCGCGUGCCACGUCGGCGUGCGCAUAGAGAACUUCUGAUCGAUCGGACGGACGUUCGUCGUUCCCCUGCAGCAGCGGCA
This 268-nucleotide unclassified non-coding RNA is filed under the name Athalia rosae (coleseed sawfly). RNAcentral's name for it is "misc RNA ENSAEAG00005009902.1". The record is from RNAcentral. Lineage: Eukaryota; Metazoa; Arthropoda; Insecta; Hymenoptera; Athaliidae.